Molecule: ribosomal RNA, 735 nt
Filed under: uncultured Fusobacterium sp.
Lineage: Bacteria; Fusobacteriati; Fusobacteriota; Fusobacteriia; Fusobacteriales; Fusobacteriaceae
Description: bacterial SSU rRNA
Rfam family: Bacterial small subunit ribosomal RNA
Source: RNAcentral
GAUGAACGCUGACAGAAUGCUUAACACAUGCAAGUCUACUUGAAUUUGGGUUUUUAACUUAGAUUUGGGUGGCGGACGGGUGAGUAACGCGUAAAGAACUUGCCUCACAGCUAGGGACAACAUUUAGAAAUGAAUGCUAAUACCUAAUAUUAUGAUAAUAGGGCAUCCUAUAAUUAUGAAAGCUAUAUGCGCUGUGAGAGAGCUUUGCGUCCCAUUAGCUAGUUGGAGAGGUAACAGCUCACCAAGGCGAUGAUGGGUAGCCGGCCUGAGAGGGUGAUCGGCCACAAGGGGACUGAGACACGGCCCUUACUCCUACGGGAGGCAGCAGUGGGGAAUAUUGGACAAUGGACCGAGAGUCUGAUCCAGCAAUUCUGUGUGCACGAUGAAGUUUUUCGGAAUGUAAAGUGCUUUCAGUUGGGAAGAAAGAGAUGACGGUACCAACAGAAGAAGUGACGGCUAAAUACGUGCCAGCAGCCGCGGUAAUACGUAUGUCACGAGCGUUAUCCGGAUUUAUUGGGCGUAAAGCGCGUCUAGGUGGUUAUAUAAGUCUGAUGUGAAAAUGCAGGGCUCAACUCUGUAUUGCGUUGGAAACUGUAUAACUAGAGUACUGGAGAGGUAAGCGGAACUACAAGUGUAGAGGUGAAAUUCGUAGAUAUUUGUAGGAAUGCCGAUGGGGAAGCCAGCUUACUGGACAGAUACUGACGCUGAAGCGCGAAAGCGUGGGUAGCAAACAGG